Molecule: ribosomal RNA, 483 nt
Filed under: uncultured bacterium
Lineage: Bacteria
Description: bacterial SSU rRNA
Rfam family: Bacterial small subunit ribosomal RNA
Source: RNAcentral
AUUGAACGCUGGCGGCAUGCCUUACACAUGCAAGUCGAACGGCAGCACGGGAGCAAUCCUGGUGGCGAGUGGCGAACGGGUGAGUAAUAUAUCGGAACGUGCCCAGUCGUGGGGGAUAACGUAGCGAAAGCUACGCUAAUACCGCAUACGAUCUACGGAUGAAAGCGGGGGAUCGCAAGACCUCGCGCGAUUGGAGCGGCCGAUAUCAGAUUAGGUAGUUGGUGAGGUAAAGGCUCACCAAGCCGACGAUCUGUAGCUGGUCUGAGAGGACGACCAGCCACACUGGGACUGAGACACGGCCCAGGCUCCUACGGGAGGCAGCAGUGGGGAAUUUUGGACAAUGGGCGCAAGCCUGAUCCAGCAAUGCCGCGUGCAGGAUGAAGGCCUUCGGGUUGUAAACUGCUUUGUACGGAACGAAACGGUGAGCUCUAAUACAGUUUGCUAAUGACGGUACCGUAAGAAUAAGCACCGGCUAACUACGUG